RNAcentral lists this long non-coding RNA (3951 nucleotides) under Macaca fascicularis (crab-eating macaque). Its description in RNAcentral is "lncRNA (ENSMFAG00000056998.1)". The record is from RNAcentral. Lineage: Eukaryota; Metazoa; Chordata; Mammalia; Primates; Cercopithecidae.
UAAAACCAAGAACUUUCCCAAGUGCUUGAACUAAAUGAAGACUGCACGGUUUGAGUUCAGAAUCAAGAGGAACUUUGGAGAGUACCAAGGAAAGCCCAACCUCCUUGUUUCACAGCCAGGCAGGUUGAGGGUCACGCAGGGCAUGUGAUUGCCAAAGGUGACCUGGAUGGGAGACUGGGCUGGGCUCAGAGUCCUAGCCGUGGAAAGCCAGGUGUCAGGUGUCAGGCUGUAUUUUGUAUGAUGGUCAAGGCCCAACUGGGGCAAGACCUGCCUGUGUGCACAACCCUGCUCGGCCAUGGGGAUAUAUUUGUAUUCCCUCAUUUCCUCAACUGUAAAAUGGGAAUAUUCACAGGGGCACCUCCUUGUCUUGGUGUAAACAUAUUUAAAACAGGUGCUGCACACAGUACCUGAUUCAUAAAGGCAGUGAGAUUUGCCUGUGUUAAAGGUUGGAAUAGAUCAUCUCAGAAAACAUAACAAUGUGAUUUCCAGAAGAGAAGAAAGAGGCACUGGAGGUCCAGGGGCUGUCAGAUGAAGCCCGCCAUCUCCAUGGUGAGCUGCCCACCCACUCAUUUGAUGAGUCCUAAAUGGGCACGUGCCCUGUUAACCUUCCGGGCAAACGGCUAGACACUUAGACCCAGCACAUGCGACAUCCACACAGUCCGACUGAGAGAAGGCAUUGUGGAGGCUCUGAGUGAGUCCUGGGGGCUUACAGGGGAGUGAGAGUGUGCAGCAGGGACAUCUGGAAGUGCAUUUGAUGUGGGCCCAGGAAGCUUUUCACCCUUGUGCAGCGUGGAAAUUCUCCAAGCAGAGGGGCCAGCCUAAUAGUCCCACAUGCUCAGUACUCACUUGAGAAAUACGUUUUAAAGACCACCAAGUGCCAGGCAGAGUCCUAAAGUGGAGGGAUAGUGAGCCCUUCUGCAGUUCAUACUAAUAACCGAAUCAGCUUUCAUGGCUAAAAAAGACACUCAUUGUUUACCCCUUAGAAAUUCUGGAAGUGGGUAGUCCAGGUCAGGCCGAUUCCAUCCUAGGGGGCCGCCAUCCCCAGCCUGUAGGGUCUGUCUUCAGGCUUGCAACUCGGGGUUGCAAUCCAACUGCUCCCCCACUCUGGCAUUGUUUCCAGUGAUGGGAGUGAAAAAAGCCUUUCCAGGAAGACUCCGCCCCACCCCCCACAGAAUUCCCCUUCCCAUCUCCUGGCCACCCCUAGGUGCAAAGUAUGCAGAGGAGACACAGCAGGCUGUCUGGCCUCUGUGGAUGCAGGUGGAGUUGGAAAUGGUGGCUGCACUGUCAACUCAGAGGGUAAGCCACAUAGGAAAGGCCACAUUCCACCAAGUUCAGUUUGGGCAGUGGUGAGCCUGACCCAGAACAGCAACUGCAGAACCUGAAUGCUGGGGUUGGUGUCAAUGUAACUGGCGGUUCUGGUCAUCAGGAGUGGAAGUGCCUCUGGCCUCCAGAGAGGGCCAGGCAUCUGUGUGGCUCUGCUCAUGCCGAUGAACCAUUUCCUGAGCUCCAGAACAGCACGGAGCAUUUGGGGAUUUCAUAACAAAGGAGCACUUGCCUUCAUGAACCGUCAGACCUCAGAGUGAACUCACUUCUUUGUGGCCUUGUUCUAAUGAAGGAAGAUCAGAGUGCUCUGCAUCACAGAAGCAAUUGACAAAACCCUUCUACAUAAAACCAAGGUGAUGACAUCAUCCAAAUUCAUGAGUAGUGCUGUCUUCCUGCUUCUUGCUACAUGAUGGCCUAGCUGAGAUCAAAGCGUUCUUCAAAAUAGAUUUUAAAAUUUAGAGAAAGUGUCCUUUUUCUUCAAGCUGAAGGAGCAGCAGGACAACUUUUACAUUCUUUGCAUUUCUCCAAUGUGUAUCAUCUGUGCUGUUCCAGAGGCAACGAGGGUCAGGUGCUUUCAGAAAUAUAGUCAGCUCCCUAUAUUCCUAGGUUCCUCAUGCACGGAUCCAACCACCCAAGAAAGAAAGAUAGUCCACAAAACAAGCAAAACAUAAUAUAAACUUAGAAACACAUGAUAAUGACUAUUUCUAUAGCACUUAUUAGGUGUUAGAAGUAAUCUAGAGAUGGAAAAGAAGUGGAAAAACUGUGAGUUCUGAAAGUAUGAGAGGGGAAAAGUCUGCCUCUGAACACAUGUCCCCACUGGGGAACCUGAAAAUCCAUAUCAUAGUAGAAGGAUUUAACCUUACCUAGAGCUGAAAUGGAUUUAAGGAGUUAAGCAAAAUAUAAAAAUAGAAGAAGCUGUGGGAAGAUCCCUGUAGGCACCCCUCGUCCCCAGCUUGAGCCUGGGGAAGUCAUCCCUGGCUUCAUCUUACAGGGGUCCUUGAGGACGGGAGCCAGUGAAAUUGGGGAGGGACCACAGGGUGAAGGAAGCAUCUAGCUGAACUUUGUAAUAAUUUUGAUUAAACACAAAUUUUCCUAAGCAGAAUCUGAGGGUGGGAGGCAAACAGGAAGUGCAGAUAUGAGUACAGAAGCCAUAGCUGACAGUGCAGGCAGGUAGGGAGGGGUGAGACCUGAGAGCCUUGCUUGCUUUCUCAGUAGGGAGGCUUGUAGCUUGGGGCAGGAUCUCAGCCCCGCUGGCUGGUUGCCUGGAUACAAACUUGGUGCUGUUGGUGGGGCAGGGCGGGAGUGAGACCGGCCUUGCUGGCUGCAUGGGAGCUAGGUGAGGCCCAUUACCGCCAGCUUUCCCCCCACUUUCCUGGUGACCUGUAUGAUGCAGCAGAGGCAGCCAUAAUUUCCCUGGGAACAUAACUACACUGGCCUGAGAACUGCCCCUCAUUGCCUACAGUGGCUGCAGCAAGCCCUGCUCAAGUAGAAUCUGAGCUGAGACCUGUCUAGCCCUGCCCCGACCUGAUGACUUUUCUCUACUGGCCCAGCCGAAGACGAAAGACAUAAACUGUUGGGAGCUCUGUGGCCCCACCCAUUGCCUAAGAAAUCCAAGUACUUAUAAAAUACUGGCCAAUUUAGGGCAAGCUUAUAUCCUCCCUAUACUACCAUAGUUGAUGCUCUCUUGAAAGCACCACCUCCUGGCUGGAUGCCAACUAACUCAGGCCUUUACAGCAACUUAUAGCAGAACAACUCUGCUCCAAAGAAGGAGAAAACAACAGCUAAUUCCACUGCCUAUAACACCCUGGCUAAACAGAGAUGAUGAGUCUGUUCACAUGAGAACUUCACUGCUAGUAUAACCAGCAUUCAAGAAAGCCAGGACACUAAAGAAAACCAUAGCCAAGGACUGUCACAGAGCACACUUCACUCCCUUACCACCUCCACUGAAACAGGUGCUGGUGUCCACAGCUGGGAGACCUGAAGAUGGAUCACAUCACAGGACUCUUUUCAGACAUUUCCCCAGCACCAGCCUGGGGCCCUGGAGCCCUUGAGAGGCUACACCCAAAAGGGCAACAGCAAUCACUGGAGUCUGGCUCUCAGGAAGCCCUGUGCUUAAGGAAAGGGGAAGAGUACCAUAUCAAGGGAUCACCCCAUGGGACAAAAGAAUCUGAACUGCAGCCCUUGGGUUCCAGAUCUUCCCACUGAAACAGUCUACCCAAAUGAGAAGGAACCAGAAAAGUAAUUCUGGUAAUAUACAAAACAGGGUUCUAUAACACUCCCAAAAGAUCACACUACCUCUCUAGUAAUGGAUCCAAACCAAGAAUAAAUCUCUAAAUUGCCAAAUAAAAAAUUCAGAAGAUUGAUUAUUAAGCUACUCAAGGAGAUACCAGAGAAAGAAGAAAACCAACUUAAAGAAAAUUUUUAAAAUACAGUAUAUAGAUGAAAAAGUCUCCAGAUAAAUAGAUACCAUAAAGAAAAGAGACCCACAACUUCUGGAAAUGAAAGACGUACUUAGUGAAAUGCCAAAUACACUAGAAAAAUUCAACAGUAGAAUCGAAUGAGUAGAAGAAAGAACUUCAGAACCCAAAGAGAUGGCUUUUGAAUUAACCCAAUCCGACAAAGAAAAAA